AUGAGACAGUAUCUGAAGAUAAGCCUUCCCUGAAAAACUUUCAUCUUCUUUGAAAAAAGAACCAAAAACAGGACUGCGUUCUUGGGAAGAGCAAGAAUAGUUCUACCCUUGGAAAGAACAAGUUUAUUCCAGUUCUUUAUCAUGGAGAGGGACUUUGGUGAAGAGAGAAAUCAGCAGACCCUCUGCAUUUCCUGGGACAUCAGCAAGGUCACAUAUGAAGAAGAGGAGGAGCAGUUUUGCCCGUAUGUCCAGCCCUCUCUCUUCCCUGAUGGGCACGGGAGGCCUGGAACAAAGCAGAAGUACUGCAGCUUCACUUAGAGUAAUGAGGUUUGGGAGCAAAGAACCUGUGCAAGGGAUCUGCUCCAUCUAUAGGGUCUGGGACAGAGCUCAGUAGGGUCUCCCUGUGACUUAGAGGGAGUGAUGGGGCUGGUUGAUCAGCUGUUAUGCAUAUCCAGCAGCCAAUGCACUCACCCUUUCAGAGGAGAGGGAUACUGCAGCCCUGAGGCUACAGUAUUCACUGCAAAGCAGCACUGCGAUGAUUCAACCAUCUUUGUGGAGGAGUCAUUUUUCUUCUCCUGUCAUUCAGUGCCAUCCCUUGUGACAAGUUUGUGUAUGCAAGCUGGACAUUAGAACUAGAAUGUACCCUUCUGCAUUUAUGACUGUAAAGGAUCACUGAUCCUUGGCACUGAUUUGAUCUCAAUUUGCUCUUAGAGCAGCUGCAGAGUUCUAAGCUGCACCAACUGCAAGGAAUCUUUCCAGUAACGGAUCACUAGAGCCUGAGUUCUUCAGCCGUGCCCCUUUCCCCCACCACACCCUCUGUGCAGGGUGAGAGAGGGUGGUAUGAACCUGCCAGAUUUCCGUCCGUCCGUCCCCCUCUCACUCCCCCAUGCCUCGCAGGAGGAAUUCUCAACUGGCUGGAUAAGACAGCUCUAAGGCAGCUUUUUCAUUGUUCAACAGGACCAAGUCUCUGGCCCUUUGCAUUAAGAAUACUGAGUACUGAAAGCUCACAGAAAACCAGGCAUGAUCAACCCAUAUCGUGUAUUUAAAAAAAUAAUUUGAAAAUAUCACUCUUUGCUGUGGACAUUAUACCAGCAGAAAACGAAGCUGAACUCAGGUUUGUGCAAAUUAUUCACUCAGGUCUCUCAUACUGUUAUACAUAUUGUUUAGUCAUUCUCUUUAGAAGAAAGAGAAGGGGAAGUAAUAACAAAAACAGGAACAAAUUUCAAAGUCAAACAAUCAUAAUACAGUAAAACCUUUUU
This is a long non-coding RNA of Mauremys reevesii (Reeves's turtle), 1259 nucleotides long. RefSeq lists it as uncharacterized. The record is from RefSeq and is a predicted model, not a curated record. The transcript is spliced from 3 exons. Lineage: Eukaryota; Metazoa; Chordata; Testudines; Geoemydidae.